GUCUCCCCCUCCCAUUUGGCGCGCCCUAAGCACGCCGGGAAACUGGAAGACCGAGAAGGGAAAAGCGGCAUCCCAGCAGCCUACGCGUUGGGAGGAUUAUCUGACCAGUUUUUCCUUUUUUAAAUAAAUCAAUUGCUAAGUUCCUGUUCAUCCAGAAAGAGGCACUGCUCAGCAAGUUGAGGAAUCUAUGAUGAAAGUAGUUCUUUUCUUGCUUCCAUGCUACUGGUUCUGUAGAAAAUCAGCCUAUUCAAAAGAUUUUUGCCCUUGAUGAAGUCUCCAGCCCUCAAGAUUUAACUGCAAUAUAACUUAGAAGGAGUGAGAAGAUCAAAAAAGUAACUGCAAUAUAACAUUAACUUGGAUUUUAAGAUUAUCAACUCUUAGGUAGACUGGAGAAACACCUUUUCCUCUGGCCUUUAAAGCACAAUAAACUUAUCCAGCAAGGAUGGCGACUAA
This 453-nucleotide long non-coding RNA is filed under the name Homo sapiens (human). RNAcentral describes it as "HSALNT0291009". The record is from RNAcentral. Lineage: Eukaryota; Metazoa; Chordata; Mammalia; Primates; Hominidae.